AGUGAACGCUGGCGGUAGGCCUAACACAUGCAAGUCGAACGGCAGCACAGUAAGAGCUUGCUCUUACGGGUGGCGAGUGGCGGACGGGUGAGGAAUACAUCGGAAUCUACUUUUUCGUGGGGGAUAACGUAGGGAAACUUACGCUAAUACCGCAUACGACCUACGGGUGAAAGCAGUGGAUCUUCGGACCUUGCGCGAGUGAAUGAGCCGAUGUCGGAUUAGCUAGUUGGCGGGGUAAAGGCCCACCAAGGCGACGAUCCGUAGCUGGUCUGAGAGGAUGAUCAGCCACACUGGAACUGAGACACGGUCCAGACUCCUACGGGAGGCAGCAGUGGGGAAUAUUGGACAAUGGGCGCAAGCCUGAUCCAGCAAUACCGCGUGGGUGAAGAAGGCCUUCGGGUUGUAAAGCCCUUUUGUUGGGAAAGAAAAGCAGCAGGUUAAUACCCCGCUGUUCUGACGGUACCCAAAGAAUAAGCACCGGCUAACUUCGUG
RNAcentral lists this ribosomal RNA (492 nucleotides) under uncultured bacterium. RNAcentral describes it as "partial 16S ribosomal RNA". It matches the Rfam family "Bacterial small subunit ribosomal RNA", at positions 29 to 507 of the family's 1533-position model. The record is from RNAcentral.